Brienomyrus brachyistius is the source of this 923-nucleotide long non-coding RNA. RefSeq lists it as uncharacterized. The transcript has 4 exons. The record is from RefSeq and is a predicted model, not a curated record. Lineage: Eukaryota; Metazoa; Chordata; Actinopteri; Osteoglossiformes; Mormyridae.
GCAAUAGGCGCGGUCCCCUUGUAAAUUAAUAACGGACGCGGUUUCUCAGUAAUAACCGACGUGCGACUACGACUGAAUGGGAAAUGUGAAUAUUUGAGAGGAAAAAGGCACAAAGGCUGGAACAUGAUUCUUCAGACUGGUUUGAAGUGAUCAUGGACGUAUUCUCAAAUUUGUUGGGAGCAGGUGGCAACAAUGAGGAGAGUGCAUCCAGCCCUCACUCUAGAGCUUAAAAGAGUCUGAGAUCCUAAGGAGCUGUGGACUGCGGGUGUCCAUCACACUACAUCGGCAUUUUCUUGGCGCGAAGUUUUGGCAGCUGUCGGGCGUGCAGAGCCGGUUUCGUCUUUCCCUUCUACGCAGCCCGCUUGGAGGCCAUUGGCCCGGCCAGACAGAUGUACUCCUAACGCCUGCUUCAGCCCACGGACGCUAACUUGCCACACACAUGCCGAAUAUUCCCAGCACCUUCGUCUUCUGAAGUCCUUCAUCAUUAAGGAUAAAUAUGGAGAUGAAUUUCGCUAGAAAGAGAUCGUUUUUGUGCACCACAUUGGCCCAAAUAUAAGAAGUUUUUUUUUUAUUUCAUCCAAAAAACUGGGGUCAUUGAUAUUCGAGGACUAGAAUGUAAAUGUCACAAUGUACAUACAAGAGUAGACGGUGUGAAUUAUCGGCCUCCUAACUGUACAUUUCAAACAUAAUUGACGUUGGAUGAGAGCUGAUCAUCAUUUCAGCACUUUGCCUGUGCUGGAUCCCCAAGACGAAUUUUUUCAUUUUCAUUGUGUAUUUAUGUCAGUUGUAAAUGGAGUAACUGUGUAAUGUUUACCGUGGAAUGCAUGUUUUGAUAGCAUGUAGCUGUGAGUGUUAAUAGAGUAACUUUCAUUUUAAAAGAGCAGUCAUCACCUUUAUUAAAAUGACUCAACAACUUGCCACAA